RNAcentral lists this unclassified non-coding RNA (260 nucleotides) under Hevea brasiliensis (rubber tree). The record is from RNAcentral. Lineage: Eukaryota; Viridiplantae; Streptophyta; Magnoliopsida; Malpighiales; Euphorbiaceae.
GAUUGGUAGCAGCUGGACAAACAGUAAGCAUUUAUUCACUAAUAAUUGUUUAUAAAUGCUGUUUUUAAUGUAAUUUAUGGCAUUUAUAAUUUGUUGUUAGAUGAAUGCUAAGCUAGAACUUUCUGGCAUUUUUUAAUUACCUUCCUUUCUCUGUUUCUUUUGUUUAGUGGACUACAGUGGUUAUAUGAAUAGCAUUAUUUUACCUGACAUAGUUUGAAUUUUUCAAUGCAUUCUAGGGCAUUGAUGUUUUAAAUGGUAUU